UAGCUCAGUUGGUAGAGGAUGGUGUUUGCAACGCCAGGGUUGUGGGUUCGAUUCCCAC
Molecule: transfer RNA, 58 nt
Filed under: Salmo salar (Atlantic salmon)
Lineage: Eukaryota; Metazoa; Chordata; Actinopteri; Salmoniformes; Salmonidae
Also listed under: 1 other name
Rfam family: tRNA
About the family: Transfer RNA (tRNA) molecules are approximately 80 nucleotides in length.
Source: Rfam by way of RNAcentral